UGCGGUACUCUGACCGUGCAAAGGUAGCAUAAUCAUUUGCCUUAUAAUUGAAGGCUAGUAUGAAUGGUUUGAUAAGAAUACAGCUGUCUCUUUAUAAUUUCAUAGAAUUUUAUUUUAAGGUGAAGAAGCCUUAGUAUAAUUAAUAGACAAGAAGACCCUAUCGAGCUUUAAAAAAAUUAGUAGAAUUAAGGUUAAUAAAUAUAAAAAUUUAACUACUAAAAAUUUUAGUUGGGGCGACUGAGGAACAAAAAAAGCUUCCUUUAAAAAUAUAUAAACAUUCAUGUAUUGAUCCAAAAUUUUUGAUUAAAGGAAUUAGUUACCGUAGGGAUAACAGCAUUAUCUUUUUUGAGAGUUCUUAUCGAAAAAAAGGUUUGUGACCUCGAUGUUGGACCAGAAUAUCCUAAAGAUGCAGAAGUCUUUAAGGGUUGGUCUGUUCGACCAUUAAAUUUUCUACGUGAA
This 459-nucleotide ribosomal RNA is filed under the name Turricula javana. RNAcentral describes it as "partial 16S ribosomal RNA". It matches the Rfam family "Bacterial large subunit ribosomal RNA", at positions 1932 to 2604 of the family's 2925-position model. Lineage: Eukaryota; Metazoa; Mollusca; Gastropoda; Neogastropoda; Clavatulidae. The record is from RNAcentral.